This 497-nucleotide ribosomal RNA is filed under the name uncultured bacterium. Its description in RNAcentral is "partial 16S ribosomal RNA". It matches the Rfam family "Bacterial small subunit ribosomal RNA", at positions 28 to 507 of the family's 1533-position model. The record is from RNAcentral.
GAUGAACGCUGGCGGCGUGCCUAAUACAUGCAAGUCGAGCGAACAGACGAGGAGCUUGCUCCUCUGACGUUAGCGGCGGACGGGUGAGUAACACGUGGAUAACCUACCUUUAAGACUGGGAUAACUUCGGGAAACCGGAGCUAAUACCGGAUAAUAUAUUGAACCGCAUGGUUCAAUAGUGAAAGACGGUUUUGCUGUCACUUAUAGAUGGAUCCGCGCCGCAUUAGCUAGUUGGUAAGGUAACAGCUUACCAAGGGAACGAGGCGUAGCCGACCUGAGAGGGUGAUCGGCCACCCUGGAACUGAGACACGGUCCAGAGUCCUGCGGGAGGCAGCAGUAGGGAAUCUUCCGCAAUGGGCGGAAGCCUGACGGAGCAACGCCGCGUGAGUGAUGAAGGUCUUCGGAUCGUAAAACUCUGUUAUUAGGGAAGAACAAAUGUGUAAGUAACUAUGCACGUCUUGACGGUACCUAAUCAGAAAGCCACGGCUAACUACGUG